GAUGAACGCUGGCGGCGUGCCUAAUACAUGCAAGUCGAGCGAACAGACGAGGAGCUUGCUCCUCUGACGUUAGCGGCGGACGGGUGAGUAACACGUGGAUAACCUACCUAUAAGACUGGGAUAACUUCGGGAAACCGGAGCUAAUACCGGAUAACAUGUUGAACCGCAUGGUUCAACAGUGAAAGACGGUCUUGCUGUCACUUAUAGAUGGAUCCGCGCCGCAUUAGCUAGUUGGUAAGGUAACGGCUUACCAAGGCAACGAUGCGUAGCCGACCUGAGAGGGUGAUCGGCCACACUGGAACUGAGACACGGUCCAGACUCCUACGGGAGGCAGCAGUAGGGAAUCUUCCGCAAUGGGCGAAAUCCUGACGGAGCAACGCCGCGUGAGUGAAGAAGGUCUUCGGAUCGUAAAACUCUGUUAUUAGGGAAGAACAAAUGUGUAAGUAAUUAUGCACGUCUUGACGGUACCUAAUCAGAAAGCCACGGCUAACUACGUG
This 497-nucleotide ribosomal RNA is filed under the name uncultured bacterium. Its description in RNAcentral is "partial 16S ribosomal RNA". It matches the Rfam family "Bacterial small subunit ribosomal RNA", at positions 28 to 507 of the family's 1533-position model. The record is from RNAcentral.